AUGCAGCCAUACCGUUCCGGUCGCGUAUUGCUGGUAACAGAGUUCGAUUAUGGCUCAGAUUGAACGCUGGCGGGAUGCUACAGCCGCAAGUCAGUUGUAGCCCGGACUUCGGUCUGGUGGCGGCGAAGUCGGCGAACGGGUGAGUAAAUAUGUCGGAACGGUGCCUAGUAGCAAGGAUAACUGCGCGAAAGCGUAAGCCUAAUACCACCAUCACAGCCGUCAGAAAUAGGGACUAGCUGAGCCUCCUUUUCAACCGAAACAAAACCCGAUAUCGGAUUAGCUAGUUAGUGAAAUGGCACAGCUCACCAGGCGACCGAUCUGGUUGACUGGUUUGAAGACGACCGGCCACGCACCGGGACUAGAACGCGGCGAACUCCUACAGGAGGGCAGCAGUGGGAAUUUUGGACAAUGGGGAAGCCACAAGUCCAGCCAUCCCGCGUGUGCGAUGAAGGCCUUCAAGGUUGUAAAGCACUUUUGGCAGAAAAAACGGCACAGGAUGACAUGCACAAAUGCGGCUGACUGACCUGCCAGGAAUGGCGCCAGCUGGCUUUGCGGUGCCCUUUGGCCGCGUGCAUACGUAAAGAUUACAAGCGUUAAUCAGAUGCUGGGCGUAAGCGAUCACCGCAGAGCAGUUCAGAAAGAAAGAUCUGUGAAAUCAAACAACUUUGGAACUGCAUUUUUAACUACAAAACUAGAAGUGUAUCAGAGGAGGUGGAAUUCGCGUCAUAGCAGUGAAAUGCGUAGAUAUGCGGAGGAACUGCCGAUGGCGAGAAGCGACCUCACCGGGGGAUAACACUGACAGCUCAUGCACAGCGAUAGGGAGCAAACGGAUUAAAUAACCCUGGUAGUCCACGCCUAAACGAUGUCCGCUAGCUGGGGCCUUCAGGCCUUGUUGUACAGCUAACGCGUGAAGUUGACCGCGCAAGUACGGUCGCAAGAUUAAACUCAAAGAAGGAAUUGACGGGGACCCACAAGCAGUGGAUGAUGUCGGAUUAAUUCGAUGCAACGCGAAAAACAACCCACCUACCCUUGACGUGUCUGGAACCCGAAGAGAUUUGAAGUGCUCGCAAGAGAACAGGAACACAGGUGCUACGUAAGCUGCUCGUCGCUCGUGUCAUGAGAUGUUGGGUUAGGGUCCUGCAACGAGCGCGGCCUUAAUCAUUGAUUGUACCGAGGGCGCUCUAAUGAGGCUGCCGGAAGUGACAAGAACCUGGAAGGUCAGGGGAUAGGCGUCGCCGAAUCCUCAUGGCCCUUAUGAGUGAAGACACCACACGUCAUACAAUGGUCGGAAUGAAGGUCGCCAACCACGCGAAGGAGCCAAUCACAGAAACCCGAUCGUAGUCCGGAUGCUAGAUCUGCCAACUCGACUGCGUGAAGUCGGAAUCCGCUAGUAAUCGCGGAUCGGCAUAAUGUAGCGGUGAAUACGCGUUCCCGGGUCGCUUGUACACACCGCCCGUCACCACGCCAUGGCGGGGAGUGGGUUUUACCGAAGUAGUUGGCACAACCGUAAGGAGGGCAGAGAUUACACGUGGGAUUCGCUGUGACUGGAGACGAAGUCAAAACAAGGUA
This 1569-nucleotide ribosomal RNA is filed under the name uncultured Bordetella sp. Its description in RNAcentral is "partial 16S-23S ribosomal RNA intergenic spacer". It matches the Rfam family "Bacterial small subunit ribosomal RNA". Lineage: Bacteria; Pseudomonadati; Pseudomonadota; Betaproteobacteria; Burkholderiales; Alcaligenaceae. The record is from RNAcentral.